This 253-nucleotide ribosomal RNA is filed under the name uncultured bacterium. RNAcentral's name for it is "partial 16S ribosomal RNA". It matches the Rfam family "Bacterial small subunit ribosomal RNA", at positions 524 to 776 of the family's 1533-position model. The record is from RNAcentral.
UACGUAGGGGGCAAGCGUUGUCCGGAUUUAUUGGGCGUAAAGAGCGUGUAGGCGGCCAUACAGGUCAGCUGUGAAAACUCGAGGCUCAACCUCGAGACGUCGGUGGAAACCGUUUGGCUAGAGUCCGGAAGAGGAGAGUGGAAUUCCCGGUGUAGCGGUGAAGUGCGCAGAUAUCGGGAAGAACACCCGUGGCGAAGGCGGCUCUCUGGGACGGUACUGACGCUGAGACGCGAAAGCGUGGGGAGCGAACAGG